Bubalus bubalis (water buffalo) is the source of this 2864-nucleotide long non-coding RNA. RefSeq lists it as uncharacterized. The record is from RefSeq and is a predicted model, not a curated record. Lineage: Eukaryota; Metazoa; Chordata; Mammalia; Artiodactyla; Bovidae. The transcript is spliced from 3 exons.
CCUGGUGGGCGACUGUCCAUGGGGUCGCAAAGAGCUGGGCACGGCUGAGCAGCUCACACACACACACACACACACACACACACACACUCACACACACUGUGCUGAGCCCGGGGGAUGCCUGUGAGAAGCACUCAUGUACCCAUUCGAAAAAAAAAAAAAAAAAGACAAAUACAGAAACGGGCCAGAAAGCAACUCAAAAGUCUCCAUUGAAGUUUAGUUCUUAAAAUCUGGAUAUAGAAGUAUGGCGAUGAAGAAUGUAAUUUUUUUUAAGGGAACAAAAUGAACUGAAUUUUCAUCUUCAUCUGAGUUGUGUUGCAUGCAAGCUACCUGCGGCAUCUUUCUUGCAGUGGGGAAUACGAGAGUCCUUAGAGCUACGUCACCUAAAAGCACCUGCCCUCCCAAGAGCUACGAGCUUCUUGUUUCUGCAAAAGUGCCAGAAGGCAGACUUUCUCUGUAAAGCGGCUUUACUUUCUCUGUAAGCAGCCGGUGGUUUUUAGGACAUCUUGUUUUUCAUAUUAUUGAAGAAACAUUUUUAACAGAUGAACUUUGUAUCUAGGAGAGAGAUUAUGUCUUCUGACCCCAGUUGGCUUCUGGACUGGAUUCCUUUCAACACGCUGGCCUCUUCCUUGACCAUGUGGUAAUCUUUAUAGUGUUGUAACACAGCAAGCACACCCUCAUUAAUCCUCUUUUUCAACAUUUUCUUGAUCAAGUCAUGUCUGCACUCUUCUAAAUAAGCUUUGGUUUCCGCUUCCCAAUUAAAAAACAACUGUCCUGUUGGGAUUUCAAAAGUGGAAUAGCACUAAUUUUGUAGCGUAAUGUCCUUAUGAAGCAAUCACAUAUGGUAUUUAUUAUGUGCAAGGCACAGUGAAACAUUGCCACAUUGAAUAAACAUAAGAAUCUCACGAGGUGGGCAUUAUCAUGCACGUGCCUGCUCAGUUGUGUCUGACUCUUUUGAGACGCUUUGGAUUGUAACCCACCAGGCUCCUCUGUCCGUGGGAUUCUCCAGGCAAGAACACUGGAGUGGUUGCCAUGCUCUCCUCCAGGGGAUCUUCCUGCCCAGGGAUGGAACCCAGGGCUGUGUCUCCUGCAUUGGCAGGCAGAUUCUUCACCUCUGAGCCACCUGGAUGUCGGGAUCAGCCCAACAACAAACCGACCCGAGGGAGCGGUGCCGCAGAAGAAUAAAGAAAAAGAAGACUCAGAAAUAAGCAGUCUUCUCCAGGGCUGGACGUCAGAUGCUGUCCUUUGCAUGGAGCUAACGCCUCCUCCUGGACACUCUCCUGGCGAUUUGUGCAGAGUACCUGGGGCUGUGGGACUUGUGUGCAGCCCUCAAAACUGCGCCAGGUCAAAGUGUAAGGACCUGAUCUGCCAAGAGAGCACGCAGCAGCCCAGAGCCUGAGAGAGAGAGGUGGGGACGCUGCUCUUUUCCAGUCUUUGCUGCUCUGGCCCUUCACCCUUCCUGACCUAGCUGCACUGCCUACAUUUGGGUUUUGGUAGAUACUAAUAUUUUACUUGGUCCUGCUUUAUGAACUUUUUUUUUUUGUCUUGCCACACCCUUUGUAUGACAUAUUACUGUCCUCCAAUCUUAUUUGCGGUCCCAUUUCUUGGGCAUCUUUUAGCCUCUCUCUGUGAUCUGCCUGGGCUUCCCAGGUGGCUCAGAGGUAAAGAACCUGCCUGCCAAUUCAAGAGACACAAGAGACGCAGGUGAAUCCCCUCGGUUGGGAUGAUCCCCUGGAGAAAGGAAUGGCUACCCACUCCAGUAUUCUUGCCUAGACAAUCCCAUGCACAGAGGAGCUUGGCGGGCUACCAUCCACAGGGUAGCAAGGGUCAGACAUGAUUUAGUGACUAAACAACAUGAUCUGCCUCUGGGAUGUCUCAUGGAGCAGAAUAGUUUUAUUUUUCUUUCACCUCUUCUGCAAAUCUUUUACUUUCCACAAGGAAUGUAUGUCGUAGGAUCAGCAGUCCACCUCACCCAGGCGUUUGAUGGGAUAGUGUCUAAAUUAAGCUUGCCUGUGGUUUUCCACUUCCCCAUUCCUACACAGAUUGUGUUUUCCCUCUGUUCCUCUCCUUGCUCUUGUUUUCUCUUCUUCUGGAAAGUUCUGAGUGAGAACCUCCCGGUAUGCUGUCCUACUGGUGCUCACCUUUUAACGUUGGCCCAUGUAUCUAAGCCUACGCUCUCUGGGAGAUGUUAACACUCAGCGUCUCCACCUGUCUUCCCUCCACGGCCUGAGCUGGACACCGUGCUCCCUUCCUGCCCCCGAGGACGUCCUUCAGCACAUUUGACCUUGAAACCUUAGCCCUGCUUCUUACGGGCUGUGCAGUGCUGGCAAGCGAUUUUCUCUGGAAACUUCACUUUCCUCACCUGUAAGUGUCAGAGAACACAACAGCAUCCAACGGGGUCAUACAGAAUUUUUAAAUUUAGGGUUUGUUGGACAGGGUAGUAAAGGAGGAAUAUGUGAUCACUUAUGUGUGGAAUCUAAAAAAAUAAAUGACUGAAUAAAACAAAUCAGAAACAGACUCACAGAUAUAGAGAGCAAACUAGCGGUCACCAGCGGGGUAAGGGGAGUAAGGAAGGAAAAGGGGUCAAGAGGCACAAGCCACUGUGUGAAUAAGUGAGCUGCAAGGACACACUACACAGCCCAGGGAAAGGGCCAAGCUUUUGCAAUAACUUUAAAGGAAGUAUAAUCUGUAAAAAUUUUGAAUCACUACAUUAUAUACAUGACACUAAUAUUAUACAUCAGCUAUAAGGAAGUAAAAGUCACUCAGUUGUGUCCUACUCUUUGCGACCCCAUGAACUAUACAGUCCAUGGAAUUCUCCAGGCCAGAAUACUGGAGUGGGUAGCCUUUCCCUUCUCCAGGGGAUCUUC